GACGAACGCUGGCGGCGUGCUUAACACAUGCAAGUCGAGCGAGGCCCUUCCUUCGGGAAGGUGUCCUAGCGGCGAACGGGUGAGUAACACGUGGGCAACCUGCCCUCAGCUCUGGGAUAACUCCGGGAAACCGGGGCUAAUACCGGAUACGACCUCUACGGGCAUCCAACGAGGUGGAAAGUUUUUCGGCUGAGGAUGGGCCCGCGGCCUAUCAGCUAGUUGGUGGGGUGAUGGCCUACCAAGGCGACGACGGGUAGCCGGCCUGAGAGGGUGACCGGCCACACUGGGACUGAGACACGGCCCAGACUCCUACGGGAGGCAGCAGUGGGGGAAUUUU
Molecule: ribosomal RNA, 337 nt
Filed under: uncultured bacterium
Lineage: Bacteria
Description: bacterial SSU rRNA
Rfam family: Bacterial small subunit ribosomal RNA
Source: RNAcentral